This is a long non-coding RNA of Lolium perenne, 1037 nucleotides long. RefSeq lists it as uncharacterized. The record is from RefSeq and is a predicted model, not a curated record. NCBI's taxonomy places the organism in Eukaryota, Viridiplantae, Streptophyta, Magnoliopsida, Poales, Poaceae.
CAUCCUCUUCGACCUACUCCCCUGUUCCUUCCUUCGUUCGUACCAUCGCCCACCGAUGGGAGCUCCCCUUGCGUUCCGCUGCCGCCCCGAGACGUCGCCUUCCCUUUCGAUCUCCGCCCAGCACGAGCCCGGCCGUACCAUCUAAGCUCCGCCCACUACAAGCUAUGCCCAGAUUAUAAUCGCCUCUCAUCCCCCACCCCAUCGAACCCAACUCCAUAGCCGCCGCAUCACAUUGCCCCCAUGUCUCAGAUCCAGCAUCUAGGAACCUCCAUCGGCCGGCUUUUCGACUCUCCAGGUUGGCUUUCUCGUCCUGUACUCCCACUCUACGGUCAUAGAGGGGACACCAAUGCACACGAAUCUGAAGUAUUUUCCCUUCCACGGGAAGAAUUCAGUGAUACUGUAGCUCGCCAGUCGACGGUUUCAUGCGUCCGAAAUAUUUGCAGUCACGGCCAAAGUAACCUCUCUGAGUUUCUGAACUGCAUCUGCAUGUACAACUCUGCCAGCGCAAGUCUUCUGACAAUGCGCAGCAAACAGAAAAUAUAACAGUGGCAAAGAGCUGUUCCAUCAUACGAGAAAAUACUACCAGGAUAUUGGAUGAUCAUUGAGGAAUCAGCAAAUCGAGUGUGGAUGUAAAAGAUAUUGUGUAUCGGCUUAUCUACAUUAAAGAACUAAGAAGACACAAAUGAGAGUGAAGGAAGCGCCUCAGGGGGUGAGGAUGUUGCGACUGGCGAGAGUAUUGGAGGAAAGGUACAGCUUGCCUCCCACAUUCAAACCUCCAGAGGCUGCAUCCACCAAGAAAGUUAAAAGAAUUUUAAUAUAAGCACUUCUCCCAGGCUCCCAAGGUUGCAUUUCAGUACUGUGAUGUGCCGUCGAGAGGGGCAAUGGCGAGAGGAUUUGGUCAAAGAGAGAGAAAAGAGAAUGAUAUAGAUGGUGAGAUUGAAUGCAGCUUCCAGUGACGUUGAGAUUAAAAGUCACCGCUGGACUUUGGCGACAUCUCGUCAUCCAAAGCCAAUCCAACGGACAGGAGUUGAGCAAUC